RNAcentral lists this ribosomal RNA (255 nucleotides) under uncultured bacterium. RNAcentral describes it as "partial 16S ribosomal RNA". It matches the Rfam family "Bacterial small subunit ribosomal RNA", at positions 526 to 779 of the family's 1533-position model. The record is from RNAcentral.
CGAAGGGGGCUAGCGUUGUUCGGAUUUACUGGGGCGUAAAAGCGCACGUAGGCGGUUUGUUAAGUCAGAGGUGAAAUCCCGGAGCUCAACUCCGGAACUGCCUUUGAUACUGGCAAGCUAGAGUCCGGAAGAGGUAAGUGGAACUCCUAGUGUAGAGGUGGAAUUCGUAGAUAUUAGGAAGAACACCAGUGGCGAAGGCGGCUUACUGGUCCGGAACUGACGCUGAGGUGCGAAGCGUGGGGAGCAAACAGGAUU